AUCAAAACGACUCUCGGCAACGGAUAUCUCGGCUCUUGCAUCGAUGAAGAACGUAGAGAAAUGCGAUACUUGGUGUGAAUUGCAGAAUCCCGUGAACCAUCGAGUCUUUGAACGCAAGUUGCGCCCAAAGCCAUUAGGCCGAGGGCACGCCUGCCUGGGUGUCACAC
This 167-nucleotide ribosomal RNA is filed under the name Vigna radiata. RNAcentral's name for it is "5.8S ribosomal RNA". It matches the Rfam family "5.8S ribosomal RNA". From Rfam's summary of the family: 5.8S ribosomal RNA (5.8S rRNA) is a component of the large subunit of the eukaryotic ribosome. It is transcribed by RNA polymerase I as part of the 45S precursor that also contains 18S and 28S rRNA. Lineage: Eukaryota; Viridiplantae; Streptophyta; Magnoliopsida; Fabales; Fabaceae. The record is from RNAcentral.